This 218-nucleotide ribosomal RNA is filed under the name uncultured bacterium. RNAcentral's name for it is "partial 16S ribosomal RNA". It matches the Rfam family "Bacterial small subunit ribosomal RNA", at positions 524 to 740 of the family's 1533-position model. The record is from RNAcentral.
UACGUAGGGUGCAAGCGUUGUCCGGAAUUAUUGGGCGUAAAGAGCUCGUAGGCGGUUUGUCGCGUCUGCUGUGAAAACCCGAGGCUCAACCUCGGGCCUGCAGUGGGUACGGGCAGACUAGAGUGUGGUAGGGGAGACUGGAAUUCCUGGUGUAGCGGUGGAAUGCGCAGAUAUUAGGAGGAACACCGGUGGCGAAGGCGCCAACUCUGGGCCGAAAC